AAAGGCAGAAACAAUUUCAUUAUUUUCAUCUUUGUGCCCUGAGGACUUAGAUCCCAUAGAAAUGAGACCUCACUGAAUGAAUGAAUAAGGACGGAAACAUCUAGGAAUGGAGAAAAUGCUUUGGACUUCUGGAGAAUUCUCUCUCAAGACUAUUAAUUGGAGCCUGCCCAAAGCCCAUUAAAGCCCGUCUCCUCCCAGACCAGAGUCCUCACCAACUGCCAGCUGAGGGAGGGUGCAGCCCAGGCGCUCGGCUAUCGGAAUGAUCAGGCUUACUUAAAGCCUCCCUGUAAUCAAGACGAAGAGUUCUAAUUUCUGAUAGAGUAAGUCUAGAUGGAAUGGAUUUUCCUCUAAUGUGGAAGGAAUUCCUCCCUGGGAGGCCACAAGUUAUUUUCAAAUUCACAUGGAGAGUGGAGUAGGUGAUUUGCAUAGGUGACAGCUGUUAAAAGAAGACACUUAAUGGCUCUUUGAAAGAAGAAGUCGUUACCAUGAUCUCCAUCGCACUCCAUCUUGACGUGCCCCAGUACAUGGCCAUCCCCUGGUUAAUCACGUGGGUCAUCGCUCGCACAAUUUCUACGGAAGAUUAAACACAUUGUGAGAUUUUAUUCUUCUCAAA
Molecule: non-coding RNA, 613 nt
Organism: Monodelphis domestica (gray short-tailed opossum)
Lineage: Eukaryota; Metazoa; Chordata; Mammalia; Didelphimorphia; Didelphidae
Source: RefSeq, a predicted model, not a curated record